GAUGAACGCUAGCUACAGGCUUAACACAUGCAAGUCGAGGGGAAACGACAUUGAAGCUUGCUUCGAUGGGCGUCGACCGGCGCACGGGUGAGUAACGCGUAUCCAACCUGCCUCUGACUAAGGGAUAACCCGGCGAAAGUCGGACUAAUACCUUAUGAGGUUUUCUGCAGACAUCUAACGAAAACGAAAGAUUUAUCGGUCAGCGAUGGGGAUGCGUCUGAUUAGCUUGUUGGCGGGGUAACGGCCCACCAAGGCAACGAUCAGUAGGGGUUCUGAGAGGAAGGUCCCCCACAUUGGAACUGAGACACGGUCCAAACUCCUACGGGAGGCAGCAGUGAGGAAUAUUGGUCAAUGGGCGAGAGCCUGAACCAGCCAAGUAGCGUGCAGGAUGACGGCCCUAUGGGUUGUAAACUGCUUUUAUGUGGGGAUAAAGUGAGCUACGUGUAGUUUAUUGCAGGUACCACAUGAAUAAGGACCGGCUAAUUCCGUGCCAGCAGCCGCGGUAAUACGGAAGGUCCAGGCGUUAUCCGGAUUUAUUGGGUUUAAAGGGAGCGUAGGCCGUGGAUUAAGCGUGUUGUGAAAUGUAGACGCUCAACGUCUGAAUUGCAGCGCGAACUGGUUCACUUGAGUAUGCACAACGUAGGCGGAAUUCGUCGUGUAGCGGUGAAAUGCUUAGAUAUGACGAAGAACUCCGAUUGCGAAGGCAGCUUACGGGAGCACAACUGACGCUGAAGCUCGAAGGUGCGGGUAUCAAACAGG
Molecule: ribosomal RNA, 759 nt
Filed under: uncultured Prevotella sp.
Lineage: Bacteria; Pseudomonadati; Bacteroidota; Bacteroidia; Bacteroidales; Prevotellaceae
Description: bacterial SSU rRNA
Rfam family: Bacterial small subunit ribosomal RNA
Source: RNAcentral